This 253-nucleotide ribosomal RNA is filed under the name uncultured bacterium. Its description in RNAcentral is "partial 16S ribosomal RNA". It matches the Rfam family "Bacterial small subunit ribosomal RNA", at positions 524 to 776 of the family's 1533-position model. The record is from RNAcentral.
UACAGAGGGUGCGAGCGUUAAUCGGAAUUACUGGGCGUAAAGCGUGCGUAGACGGUUACGUAAGUCGGAUGUGAAAGCCCCGGGCUCAACCUGGGAAUUGCAUUCGAGACUGCGUAGCUAGGAUGCGGAAGAGGGAAGCGGAAUUUCCGGUGUAGCGGUGAAAUGCGUAGAUAUCGGAAGGAACACCAGUGGCGAAAGCGGCUUCCUGGUCCAGCAUCGACGUUCGGGCACGAAAGCGUGGGGAGCAAACAGG